AGAGUUUGAUCCUGGCUCAGGAUGAACGCUGGCGGCGUGCUUAACACAUGCAAGUCGAACGAAGCACUUUAUUUGAUUUCCUUCGGGACUGAUUAUUUUGUGACUGAGUGGCGGACGGGUGAGUAACGCGUGGGUAACCUGCCUUGUACAGGGGGAUAACAGUUGGAAACGGCUGCUAAUACCGCAUAAGCGCACGGCAUCGCAUGAUGCAGUGUGAAAAACUCCGGUGGUAUAAGAUGGACCCGCGUUGGAUUAGCUAGUUGGUGAGGUAACGGCCCACCAAGGCAACGAUCCAUAGCCGACCUGAGAGGGUGACCGGCCACAUUGGGACUGAGACACGGCCCAAACUCCUACGGGAGGCAGCAGUGGGGAAUAUUGCACAAUGGGCGAAAGCCUGAUGCAGCGACGCCGCGUGAGCGAAGAAGUAUUUCGGUAUGUAAAGCUCUAUCAGCAGGGAAGAUAAUGACGGUACCUGACUAAGAAGCACCGGCUAAAUACGUGCCAGCAGCCGCGGUAAUACGUAUGGUGCAAGCGUUAUCCGGAUUUACUGGGUGUAAAGGGAGCGCAGGCGGUGCGGCAAGUCUGAUGUGAAAGCCCGGGGCUCAACCCCGGUACUGCAUUGGAAACUGUCGUACUAGAGUGUCGGAGGGGUAAGCGGAAUUCCUAGUGUAGCGGUGAAAUGCGUAGAUAUUAGGAGGAACACCAGUGGCGAAGGCGGCUUACUGGACGAUAACUGACGCUGAGGCUCGAAAGCGUGGGGAGCAAACAGGAUUAGAUACCCUGGUAGUCCACGCCGUAAACGAUGA
This 806-nucleotide ribosomal RNA is filed under the name uncultured bacterium. Its description in RNAcentral is "bacterial SSU rRNA". It matches the Rfam family "Bacterial small subunit ribosomal RNA", at positions 8 to 812 of the family's 1533-position model. The record is from RNAcentral.